ACAACCCUGCGAUGUGCGUGAUUGAACAGAAUACGGGGCGAGCCAACGUUUUAACUACGGGAGCAUGGUGACGUAGCGUGGAUGUGUCAGCCUGACCCCUGGUGGGCCCAGGUAAGACGGAAGCGCUCAACCAGCACCCACUUGCGACUCUCGGGUCGAUCCCACUGCUCGCACGGCAUUGCGGGGUUUCU
RNAcentral lists this non-coding RNA (191 nucleotides) under Caldilineaceae bacterium. RNAcentral describes it as "6S RNA". It matches the Rfam family "6S / SsrS RNA". Rfam says of the family: E. coli 6S RNA was the first non coding RNA to be sequenced, but its function was unknown until recently. It consists of 184 nucleotides that fold into an extended hairpin structure with a large single-stranded internal bulge. The record is from RNAcentral. Lineage: Bacteria; Bacillati; Chloroflexota; Caldilineae; Caldilineales; Caldilineaceae.